This 497-nucleotide ribosomal RNA is filed under the name uncultured bacterium. RNAcentral's name for it is "partial 16S ribosomal RNA". It matches the Rfam family "Bacterial small subunit ribosomal RNA", at positions 28 to 507 of the family's 1533-position model. The record is from RNAcentral.
GAUGAACGCUGGCGGCGUGCCUAAUACAUGCAAGUCGAGCGAACAGAUGAGGAGCUUGCUCCUCUGACGUUAGCGGCGGACGGGUGAGUAACACGUGGAUAACCUACCUAUAAGACUGGGAUAACUACGGGAAACCGGAGCUAAUACCGGAUAAUAUAUUGAACCGCAUGGUUCAAUAGUGAAAGACGGUUUUGCUGUCACUUAUAGAUGGAUCCGCGCCGCAUUAGCUAGUUGGUAAGGUAACGGCUUACCAAGGCAACGAUGCGUAGCCGACCUGAGAGGGUGAUCGGCAACACUGGAACUGAGCCACGGUCCAGACUCCUACGGGAGGCAGCAGAAGGGAACCUGCCGCAAUGGGCGAAAGCCUGACGGAGCAACGCCGCGUGAGUGAUGAAGGUCUUCGGAUCGUAAAACUCUGUUAUUAGGGAAGAACAAAUGUGUAAGUAACUAUGCACGUCUUGACGGUACCUAAUCAGAAAGCCACGGCUAACUACGUG